UGGGGCGUAGCUCAGUCGGGUAGAGCAGCUGGCUUAUAUCCAGCGUGUCGAGGGUUCGAGUCCUUCCGUCCCGA
This 74-nucleotide transfer RNA is filed under the name Caudoviricetes sp. RNAcentral describes it as "tRNA-Ile". It matches the Rfam family "tRNA". From Rfam's summary of the family: Transfer RNA (tRNA) molecules are approximately 80 nucleotides in length. Lineage: Duplodnaviria; Heunggongvirae; Uroviricota; Caudoviricetes. The record is from RNAcentral.